This 494-nucleotide ribosomal RNA is filed under the name uncultured bacterium. RNAcentral describes it as "partial 16S ribosomal RNA". It matches the Rfam family "Bacterial small subunit ribosomal RNA", at positions 28 to 507 of the family's 1533-position model. The record is from RNAcentral.
GACGAACGCUGGCGGCGUGCUUAACACAUGCAAGUCGAACGGAAAGGCCUGCUUUCCCUUGUGGAUUGCGGGUACUCGCGUGGCGAACGGGUGAGUAACACGUGAGUGAUCUGCCCCCAACUUGGGUAUAAGCCUGGGAAACUGGGUCUAAUUCCCGAUAGGACUGCAGGGUGGUGCCUGUGGUGGAAAACGAUUUUCUAGUGGUUGGGGAUGAGCUCGCGGCCUAUCAGCUUGUUGGUGGGGUAAUGGCCUACCAAGGCGGCGACGGGUAGCCGGCCUGAGAGGGUGGACGGCCACAUUGGGACUGAGAUACGGCCCAGACUCCUACGGGAGGCAGCAGUGGGGAAUAGUGCACAAUGGGCGGAAGCCUGAUGCAGCGACGCCGCGUGGGGGAUGACGGCCUUCGGGUUGUAAACUCCUUUCGACCGCGAGGAAGCCACCUGGUUGGAAGGGUGGUGACGGUAGUGGUAGAAGAAGCACCGGCUAACUACGUG